RNAcentral lists this long non-coding RNA (587 nucleotides) under Populus trichocarpa (black cottonwood). Its description in RNAcentral is "long non-coding RNA (PTRI_LNC001347)". The record is from RNAcentral. Lineage: Eukaryota; Viridiplantae; Streptophyta; Magnoliopsida; Malpighiales; Salicaceae.
UCAUAAAAAUAAAAAUAGAAAUUAAAGGCUUUUGAAUUUGAGACAUCCUGAGCUACAAGGCUCAUUGACAUUGAAAUUAUAGAAAAAAAACAUAUAUGGUGGUCGAUAGAACACAUGCAAAACAAAGAAGAAACGAAAUAUAAAGAACUUGGAAAAUAGAACAAUAAACAACAAAGUGCUACGUAACAUAUAGGGUUUCCAUUUAGAUAGCUUGAUCAAUAUCUGUUCUUCCUUCACAGAUCUUUCUUUCUUUGUCUUUUUUUAGGCUCAACUUGCACUUCUCACUGUCAUUUUGUACCCACCUUGGUCUUCCCUGUGCAAGGUAACGACAUCACCAGCGUUGAGCCUCAGAUGGCGAGCGAUUCCAAUCCAGCCUUUAGUAAAUGCAAGCCUUCCUGAUCUGCAGGAGCAGUGAACAUCAACUUUCAUUCCAGCUUGCUCAAACAUGAUUGGAAUCACGUUUUCCCGUGCGCCUUGGAAAGGUGGCAAGGCUUCUCUCCUCGUAUCGUUCGGUAACUCCAAAUGUCUCUCAAUGUCAACAGAUAUGAGUUUCUUCAUGAAGAUCUCCAUAGGUUAUAAUAUUUGUU